This 387-nucleotide unclassified non-coding RNA is filed under the name uncultured Alphaproteobacteria bacterium. RNAcentral describes it as "contains 16S-23S intergenic spacer region". The record is from RNAcentral. Lineage: Bacteria; Pseudomonadati; Pseudomonadota; Alphaproteobacteria.
UCCGAGUUGACCCCGGCAGUCUCGCAUGAGUCCCCACCACCCCAAAGGGCGUGCUGGCAACAUGCGACAAGGGUUGCGCUCGUUGCGGGACUUAACCCAACAUCUCACGACACGAGCUGACGACAGCCAUGCAGCACCUGUGUCCACGCCCCUUGCGGGGAGGAACCCGUCUCCGGGAACCGUCGUGGCAUGUCAAGGGCUGGUAAGGUUCUGCGCGUUGCUUCGAAUUAAACCACCUGCUCCACCGCUUGUGCAGGCCCCCGUCAAUUUCUUUGAGUUUUAACCUUGCGGCCGUACUCCCCAGGCGGAUGACUUAAUGCGUUAGCUGCGCCACCGAAAGCCCAUGGCCCCCGACAGCUAGUCAUCAUCGUUUACGGCGUGGACUAC